UCGUUUCGAGUGGCUGAAAGGCAAGUUAGGUCCUAAAUCUUCAGAAAAAGCUUCCUGGGUAUAUGAGGACUACCGUCCAUCCUCCUCAAGAAAGUGACAGGUUCUGAACAUAACAUACUAAAAAGUUCUCCUCUAGAUCAGAGUUUUGUACAAGUGGAGUAUAUUGAGUAGAAGAUGUAAAUGAGCAAAAGUCCUCAGGUGGAGAA
Molecule: non-coding RNA, 206 nt
Organism: Camelina sativa (false flax)
Lineage: Eukaryota; Viridiplantae; Streptophyta; Magnoliopsida; Brassicales; Brassicaceae
Source: RefSeq, a predicted model, not a curated record